GAUUUUGGACAAUGGGGGGAACCCUGAUCCAGCAAUCCCGCGUGUGCGAUGAAGGCCUUCGGGUUGUAAAGCACUUUUAGCAGGGAAGAAACAGCGCCGGUUAAUACCCGGCGUCACUGACGGUACCUGCAGAAUAAGCACCGGCUAACUCUGUGCCAGCAGCCGCGGUAAUACAGAGGGUGCAAGCGUUAAUCGGAAUUACUGGGCGUAAAGCGCGCGUAGGUGGUUCAGUAAGAUGGGUGUGAAAUCCCAGGGCUUAACCUUGGAACUGCAUUCUUAACUGCCGGGCUAGAGUAUGUCAGAGGGGGGUAGAAUUCCGCGUGUAGCAGUGAAAUGCGUAGAGAUGCGGAGGAAUACCGAUGGCGAAGGCAGCCCCCUGGGAUAAUACUGACGCUCAUGCACGAAAGCGUGGGGAUCAAACA
Molecule: ribosomal RNA, 422 nt
Filed under: uncultured bacterium
Lineage: Bacteria
Description: partial 16S ribosomal RNA
Rfam family: Bacterial small subunit ribosomal RNA
Source: RNAcentral